Podarcis lilfordi (Lilford's wall lizard) is the source of this 3226-nucleotide non-coding RNA. The record is from the annotation of a GenBank genome assembly. Lineage: Eukaryota; Metazoa; Chordata; Lepidosauria; Squamata; Lacertidae.
GUUGUGCGCCAAUUAGCAGGUGCCUCCAUCUCCGGAACGCCUCAUGAAUGGCUAGUAGUUCUCGGUCAUACACCGUGUAGUUCCUCUCGGAUUUGUUCAGCUUUCGCGAAAAAAAGCACACGGUCUCCACUCUGACUCCUCCUUCCCUGGCUGGAGAAGCACCGCCCCAACCGCUCUGUCUGAUGCGUCAGUUUCCACUCUCAUCGGUUUUUGUAAAUCCACAUGCAGGAGCUGUUGUUCCGAGGCGAAGGCCCUUUUAGUUCCUCAAAUGCUUGCUCCGCCUCCUCCGUCCAAACGAACUUCUUCUUACUGCUGAGACAGUCCGUAAUGGGCGCCGUCAGGUGGGCAAAGUUUGGGAUGAACUUACGAUAGAAGUUCCCAAACCCUAAAAACCUCUGCACAUCCUUCCUUGUUUUGGGUGUUUUCCAUUCCAGUACCGCCUGGACCUUGUCGGGAUCCAUGGCCAACCCCUUGUCAGACAGGCGAUACCCCAGGAAUUCCACCUCCUUGGUAUGAAACUGACACUUCUCCAGUUUCACCCACAGCUGGUUGGCUUGCAGCCUGCUCAACACUUCUCUGACGUCUCUCACAUGCUGCUCCUCAUUCUCAGAAUACACCAACACGUCGUCUAAGAAGGCCACACAAUUCUUGUAAAGCAACGGCCCCAGGACGUGGUUCAUAAACGAUUGAAAUGUUGCGGAGCCUGCUUGUAGACCGAAGGGCAUAACUAAGUAUUCAAAUGCCCCUAAAGGGGUGAACAUGGUGGUUUUCCAUUCAUCCCCCUUCCUUAUUCGUAUCAGGUUGUACGCCCCCCUUAGAUCCAGCUUGGUAAAAAUCUUUCCCUUCCGCACCCUUGUCAAAAUGUCGUCAAUCCUGGGCAUCGGGAAGGCCACUGGUUCUGACACUGCAUUUAAGGCCCUGAAGUCACACACCAGUCUCGGCUUGUUCGUGUUUUUGUCCACAAAAACACUGGGCUGCCCCCACCGCCCUGGACUCUCUGAUGAACCCUCUCUUCAGGUUCUUGUCAAUGAACUCUCUUAGCUCCUGCAUCUCUCUGUCUGACAUGGCGUACAGCUUGCCCACAGGGAGCUGUGCCCCAGGGAGCAAAUUGAUUUGACAGUCAAAGGCUCUAUGCGGUGGUAGUUGGUCAGCUUCCCUUUCGCUGAAGACGUCGCGGAGAUCUGCGUAUUGUCGUGGUACCUUCACGUUCUCCGUCACUUCAGUCCCUGCUAGAGUGGCUUGGGCCCCUGCCAAAACCCUUCCCUCUUUGCAAUGUUCUAAGCAAUGUGCUGACCCAAAAGAAACCACUCUUUGAUGCCAGCCCACCAGCGGAUCAUGUAACGCUAGCCAGCUCAUCCCCAAUAUAAUGGGAGCUCCUCCCAAGGUGGCCACAUUAAAUGCUAUUAGUUCGGUGUGCCUUGCCACCUUCAUUAUCAUUGGGACGGUCUGCAAGCUGACUUCUCCUCCCAACAGCUCCCUGCCAUCGAUCGUGGUUACCUGCAGGGGGUUGCUUAAAGGGAGCGUCUGUAUCUGGUGUUCAGCUGCAAACUCUUUGCUCAUGAAAUUGCAGGAGCUGCCUGAGUCCAACAGCGCCUUUAUCUUUAGAGGGUGUCCGUUUGGCAGCUCUAGUGUCACUUCUAUCACUAGGGCGGGUUUAGGAGGUUCUGGAGUGGGCACUUUCACUGCUCUUUGGCCUGGCUGCUGUGCCCCGACAAUGGCAGCCAGGCGUUGGCUUUUAGUUGCUCCGGUAUUUUUCCUCUCUUCCCUCCACAGCUCCCACCAUCCCUUGCCAUUCCUUCCUCUGGGGGCAGACUCUGGCAAAGUGCCCUGGCUGUUGGCAGAGAUAGCAUUUCCGGGCGCCUUUUCCAUCCUUCUUUCCCCCUCACUGGGCUUUGAAACUGCGCGCGCGCGCGCUGUUCCGAUUUCCAUCGGCUCUGCCGGCGGGACAGUUGGCUCUGGAAUGUCUGGAAUGCGGAACUCCUUCCAACGUUCCCCUUUCCCUUCCCGCCUCUCCAAUGCUCUCGCCUCCUGGCGCGCUCCUAUGGCCAGCGCUGAUUUGGUCAGCUGGUCCAUAGACUCCGCCCUGGGCGCCCGGGAAAGUUCAUCUUUCACAGCCGAAGAAAGCCCUUCUUCAAAGAGCAUUUGAAUGGGUUCCGCCGAUAAGUCCCACCCCAAUCUGUGUAUCAGCAUGGUGAACUCAGUCCAGUACUCACGUACAGAUCGGCUCCCCUGUUUGCAAGCCAUUAACUGUCUGCGCACCACUCCCUUUUCAAUAUCGCUGGAAAACAUCAGAUCCAUGGCGCGAAAGAACUUCAUCGUGUCCUUUAGGACGUCACUAUGCGCUGCCAUCAGGGGUCUCACCCAGUCUCUCGCCCCCUUUUCAAGAUGCCCAAUCACAAAAGCCACUCGUGAUUCCUCAUCAGGGAAAUCAUCAAACUGCAGAUUGAGGGCAUAUUGCAUUUCUGUCCGAAAGCUAUGAUAGUCUUUGGGCUCCCCCCCCAAAUUUCUGCACCAAUCCUGGUACCUUUCUGGCGAGCUGGGUGGCUUUCUCCCUUUUGUCUGCAUCUUGAGCCCUCCUCUCCUCCAGCCUCGCCGUCUGCAGCGCCAGCUGGACCUCCAACACCCGGUACCUUUCUUCCAGGCUUGGACCCGCUCCAGCCCCUGCUUCUCCGGUUCCUGCUGGGUUGCUCAUUAUGCCUUCUCCUGCACAAGCUGCGUUCAAAGACUGUCGGAAUGCUGUGAUGGGAUUAUGAGCUGCUUGUGCGUAAAAUCGUAUUCCCUCAGAGUUUGUUCAAGUCCACAAACCUCUGUCUGUGACUGAGCCCCUCUGACAUGGCUCCUCUAGUCACUAGAAGAUUCCGACAGUGGUUGCUUUCGUAAUCGCUUCCAACAUAAAAGCUCCUUAACGGAAACACGUCUUCUGGACUCUCUGCGUGACAGUUUCCGGCGAGGAGUGGGUGUCGCUACAGGAGGUCCGGAAACCUCACCACUGUUUUCGCUGGAAGUAUCUCUGAGCCAUCCCCCCAGCUCCCUUUCCCUCAGUUCAGCUUCUCUCCCCCUGCUGGUUUCCUCUUCCGCUGCUGAGUCUCUUCCAACCUGUCUGAGCCCUUUCACCUCCCUCAGUUCAGCUUCUCUCCCCUUGCUGGUUCCCUCUUCAGCUGCUGAAUCUCUUCCAACCUGUCUGAGUCCUUUCACCUCCCUUCCUUCCGAUGGCAGUUCCCUGACA